Molecule: ribosomal RNA, 253 nt
Filed under: uncultured bacterium
Lineage: Bacteria
Description: partial 16S ribosomal RNA
Rfam family: Bacterial small subunit ribosomal RNA
Source: RNAcentral
UACGAAGGGUGCAAGCGUUACUCGGAAUUACUGGGCGUAAAGCGUGCGUAGGUGGUUCGUUAAGUCUGCCGCGAAAGCCCCGGGCUCAACCUGGGAAUGGCGGUGGAUACUGGCGGACUAGAGUGCGGUAGAGGGUGGUGGAAUUCCCGGUGUAGCAGUGAAAUGCGUAGAGAUCGGGAGGAACAUCUGUGGCGAAGGCGGCCACCUGGACCAGCACUGACACUGAGGCACGAAAGCGUGGGGAGCAAACAGG